This 389-nucleotide ribosomal RNA is filed under the name uncultured bacterium. RNAcentral describes it as "partial 16S ribosomal RNA". It matches the Rfam family "Bacterial small subunit ribosomal RNA", at positions 338 to 724 of the family's 1533-position model. The record is from RNAcentral.
CCUACGGGAGGCAGCAGUGAGGAAUAUUGGUCAAUGGCCGGAAGUCUGAACCAGCCAAGUAGCGUGAAGGAUGACUGCCCUGUGCGUUGUAAACUUCUUUUGUCUGGGAAUAAAAUGUUGCACGUGUGGGGUUUUGUAUGUACCCUAUGAAUAAGGAUCGGCUAACUCCGUGCCAGCAGCCGCGGUAAUACGGAGGAUGCGAGCGUUAUCCGGAUUUAUUGGGUUUAAAGGGAGCGUAGGCGGAUUCUUAAGUCAGUUGUGAAAUUUUGCGGCUCAACCGUAACAGUGCCGUUGAAACUGGGGGCCUUGAGUACAGUAGAGGUGGGCGGAAUGCGCGGUGUAGCGGUGAAAUGCUUAGAUAUCGCGAAGAACCCCGAUUGCGAAGGCAG